CCCCGGGUGGUGCAAAUGGUUAGCACACUUGCCUGUUGACCAAGAGGCUGGAGAUUUGAGUCUACCCUGAGGC
RNAcentral lists this transfer RNA (73 nucleotides) under Loxodonta africana (African savanna elephant). It matches the Rfam family "tRNA". Rfam says of the family: Transfer RNA (tRNA) molecules are approximately 80 nucleotides in length. Their secondary structure includes four short double-helical elements and three loops (D, anti-codon, and T loops). Lineage: Eukaryota; Metazoa; Chordata; Mammalia; Proboscidea; Elephantidae. The record is from Rfam by way of RNAcentral.